This 298-nucleotide unclassified non-coding RNA is filed under the name Hevea brasiliensis (rubber tree). Lineage: Eukaryota; Viridiplantae; Streptophyta; Magnoliopsida; Malpighiales; Euphorbiaceae. The record is from RNAcentral.
GAAUGCAGGAAGUUGAAUUUAUUCUUAAAUUAUAAGGAUAAGCCAAUGCUUUUUAUGUACAUACAGCAAACAGCAUAUGAAGCUGAAAUAUAAACACUGAUAUCCUAAUUGAGGCAGCAUUCAGAUCCAUCAAUGCCAAUCAUAUUGUUGGUAUACUAUAAAUUGCAUAAUUCUGACCCCAAAGCAGCCCAGCAUGACCUAUAGAACAUUUUCACCCAUCUAUUUUAGGGAAGGAAGGUCAUGAAAUGCAUUUACGAAGCAGCUUCAAAGGUAUUCCCAAAUGAGAACAUCCCCUUGU